UACGGAGGGUGCAAGCGUUAAUCGGAAUUACUGGGCGUAAAGCGUGCGCAGGCGGUUUGUUAAGUCUGCUGUGAAAUCCCCGAGCUCAACUUGGGAAUUGCAGUGGAUACUGGCAAGCUGGAGUACGGUAGAGGAAGGUGGAAUUCCCGGUGUAGCAGUGAAAUGCGUAGAUAUCGUGAGGAACACCAGAGGCGAAGGCGGUUUCCUGGACAGUUACUGACGCUCAGGCACGAAAGCAUGGGGAGCAAAAGGG
Molecule: ribosomal RNA, 253 nt
Filed under: uncultured bacterium
Lineage: Bacteria
Description: partial 16S ribosomal RNA
Rfam family: Bacterial small subunit ribosomal RNA
Source: RNAcentral